This 5310-nucleotide unclassified non-coding RNA is filed under the name Hevea brasiliensis (rubber tree). The record is from RNAcentral. Lineage: Eukaryota; Viridiplantae; Streptophyta; Magnoliopsida; Malpighiales; Euphorbiaceae.
GCCAAACCAAAACUAACAAACGUUGAAACCUCUCGCUUUGUCGUUUUGGUUGAACAAACAAUAAAUAAAAUAAACAUAAAAAAAAAAAUUUAAAUCCAAAUUUAGCGUGUGAGACAGAGAGAGAGAGAGAGGGCGCCUUUGGACGAUACGAUUGCACGUAGAGCCAGAAGUCGUAAAAACAAGUUGCAGAGACUAGAAAGUGAAAGAGAGAGAAAUGGCUUCGCCGUUGCCGGAAUUGCAGGGAGGAGAAGGAAUAAUAUUGUCGAACUCGGCGAAGAAGGUGGAGUCGAAGGGUGGUUUGGAGAGCAGCGAUAAAAAAUCGCCGAUUCUUAUAUUUCUAUACUUCCACAAGGCCAUACGUAAUGAGCUUGAUUCGCUUCACCGAUUGGCCAUGGCCUUUGCCACUGGACAGACCGUCGAUGUUCGCUCACUCUUCGAACGGUACCGUUUCCUCAGAUUGAUUUACAAGCACCAUUGCAAUGCCGAAGACGAGAUAGUUGGCAUGAUGUCAUAAUAUUUUGGAAAUGCAGGUUAUUUUUCCAGCUCUUGACAUACGUGUCAAGAAUGUGGCACAAACAUACUCACUUGAGCACAAGGGUGAAAGCAGUCUUUUUGAUCAAUUAUUUGAGCUUCUGGAUUCCAAUAAACAAGAUGAAGAAAGCUUUCGCAGGGAGUUAGCUUCACGUACUGGAGCUCUUCAAACGUCAAUUAGUCAGCAUAUGUCCAAGGAAGAGGAGCAGGUAUUCCCAUUGCUGAUUGAGAAGUUUUCUUUUGAAGAGCAGGCAUCAUUGGUAUGGCAGUUUCUAUGCAGCAUUCCUGUCAAUAUGAUGGCUGAGUUUCUUCCUUGGCUUUCUUCCUCCAUAUCAUCUGAUGAAUAUCAGGAUAUGCACAAGUGUUUGUGCAAGAUAAUCCCAAAAGAGAAACUUCUUCAUCAGGUAAUUUUUGCCUGGAUGGACGGUGCAAAAUCGUCUAAUAUGUGUACAAGUUGCCAAGAUGAUUCUAAAGCCUGUUAUCAAGAUUCAGGUCCACCAGUCUUAAUCUGUCAAAGUGAGAAGACACAUUGUGCAUGUGAAUCAUCUAGACUUGGUAAAAGGAAAUAUAUGGAGCUACCUUGUGAUCUUGCCAAUUCAACCAUGUUCCAUCCCAUAGAUGAAAUUUUGCUUUGGCAUGCUGCAAUAAGAAGAGAGUUGAAUGAUAUAGCUGAGGCUGCUCGGAAGAUACAACUUCAUGGAGAUUUUUCCGAUCUGUCUGCAUUCAACAAGAGGCUGCAAUUCAUUGCAGAAGUGUGCAUAUUUCACAGGUGGAGUUGUCUGUGUUUUCUUAUCUGAUUGUUUUCUUCCCCUAGUGAACAUAACACUGUCCAAGUGCAGCAAGUAAUAUACCUCAAAAGUAGCAUGUUAAAUGUCCUUUAAUUUGUGGAUAGAGAUAAUUAUGGAUCUUGAUAUUAUGGCCUGAUGCAUGAACUACUAUCUCUUGGCUUGUUUUUAUGUUUUGACAUCCCAGUUUUGUCUUAUAUUUCAGAAACUUAUACAUGAUAAUGUAUGGAAAGCUUUGCAUAGUAAAAUUUCCUUGAAUUGCACAUAUUAGCAAUUAAAGGAAUUUGGACAUCACUGAGUCUUUCUUCUUUUAGUUUUGUGCUUUCAAUGGCUUUACUUCUAGUGGAUUUGAAACUCACUCUCUUUCUCUCUGCCUACCUCUUGAAUAAUGUGAUAGAAAUAUGUAAUAAUUAUUAUGACUAUAAUGACUAUUUGUCAUUGUGAAUGGGCUUCUGUUGUCUAUCUUGACCGCAGUAUUGCUGAGGACAAAGUUAUAUUCCCUGCUGUAGAUGCAGAACUCUCUUUUGCCCAAGAGCAUGCAGAAGAAGAAAUUCAGUUUGACAAGCUUAGAUGUCUGAUAGAAAGUAUUCAAAGUGCUGGAGUUAGCACAUCUCUUACUGAAUUCUAUACAAAAUUGUGCUUUCAAGCUGAUAAUAUCAUGGACACCAUACAGAAACACUUCCAAAAUGAGGAAGAUCAGGUUCUCCCACUUGCUCGAAAGCAUUUUAGUGCCAAAAGACAGCGUGAACUUCUUUAUCAAAGCUUAUGUGUGAUGCCUUUGAAAUUAAUUGAAUGUGUCUUACCAUGGUUGGUGGGAUCACUUAGUGAAGAAGAAGCAAAGUCUUUUCUUCAAAACAUGUGCAUGGCAGCUCCAGCUUCAGAUUUUGCAUUGGUUACACUUUUUUCUGGUUGGGCUUGUAAAGGUCAUCCUAGGAAUACUUGUUUGUCUUCCGGUGCCAUUGGUUGUUGUCCUGCGAGAAUUCUGACUGGAUCUCAGGAGGAGAUCAAACAAUCCUUCUGUGAGAGCUAUUCAUUAUCUAUAAAUGAAAAGUCUUCUUUUAUCCAGGCAGAUGAAGCAGAUGAUGGUAGAAGGCCAGUCAAGCGUGGAAACCUAGUAUUACAGGAAGAUGGUGUUGCUUGUCAGUCUGUAGGGACUGCUAGUGUCCCCAUAUUAUCUUGUGGUAAUAAGUCUUGCUGUGUCCCUGGGUUAGGAGUGAAUAGCAGCAAUCUAAGAAUUAGUUCUCUUGCUGCUGCAAAAUCUCUGCGUUCCUUGUCUAUUAGUCCUUCUGCUCCCUCCCUUAACUCUAGUCUUUUUAACUGGGAAACAGAUGCAAGUCCCACUGACAGUACUUGUGCUUCACGCCCGAUUGAUAACAUAUUUAAAUUUCAUAAAGCUAUACGCAAAGACUUGGAAUAUUUGGAUGUUGAAUCUGGAAAAUUAAAUGAUUGUAAUGAAACUUUGCUUAGGCAGUUUACUGGUAGAUUUCGUCUGUUAUGGGGCUUAUAUAGAGCUCACAGUAAUGCAGAGGAUGAUAUAGUGUUUCCAGCAUUAGAGUCUAAAGAGACACUCCAUAAUGUUAGCCACUCGUAUACUCUGGACCACAAGCAGGAAGAAAAACUAUUUGAAGAUAUCUCAUCUUUGCUUUCUGAGCUUACACAACUUCAAGAACGCUUGAAGAGUAUCAGUCUUUCUGAGGAGUUAAAUGGAAAACCUUCUGGUUUGUCUGAUCACAGUGAUGCUUUUAGAAAGUACAAUGAGCUUGCGACAAAGCUUCAGGGCAUGUGCAAAUCCAUAAGAGUAACACUGGAUCAACAUGUUUUUCGGGAAGAGCUUGAGUUGUGGCCUUUAUUUGACAUGCAUUUUUCAGUGGAGGAACAGGACAAAAUUGUUGGUCGAAUAAUUGGUACUACAGGUGCGGAGGUGCUUCAGUCGAUGUUGCCAUGGGUAACAUCAGCUCUUACUCAGGAGGAGCAGAAUAAAAUGAUGGACACAUGGAAAAAUGCAACUAAAAACACAAUGUUCAGUGAGUGGCUUAAUGAAUGGUGGCAGGGUACAUCUGCUACAACUUCACAAGCAACAACAUCAGAGAGCUGUGUAUCACUAGGCUCUGAUCUCCAUGAAAGCCUGGAUCACAGUGAUCAUACAUUUAAGCCUGGCUGGAAAGAUAUUUUCCGGAUGAAUCAAAAUGAGCUCGAAGCAGAGAUAAGAAAUGUUUCUCGAGAUUCAUCUCUUGAUCCAAGAAGAAAAGCAUAUCUCAUUCAAAAUCUAAUGACCAGCCGCUGGAUAGCUGCUCAGCAGAAGUCACCCCAAGCAAGAACUGGUGAAUUUUCAAAUGGUGAGGACAUACUUGGAUGUUAUCCUUCAUUUCAUAAUCCAGAGAAACAAGAAUUUGGGUGUGAGCAUUAUAAACGAAACUGUAAACUUCGAGCUGCCUGCUGUGGCAAGUUAUUCACAUGCAGGUUCUGCCAUGACAAAGUCAGUGACCAUUCUAUGGACAGGAAGGCAACAUCUGAAAUGAUGUGUAUGCGCUGCCUGAAAAUUCAGCCUGUUGGACCAGUUUGUACAACACCUUCUUGUGGGGGUUUCUCAAUGGCAAAGUACUAUUGCACUAUCUGUAAAUUUUUUGAUGAUGAAAGGAAUGUUUAUCAUUGUCCUUUCUGCAAUUUAUGCCGUGUUGGAAAUGGACUUGGUGUUGACUUCUUUCAUUGCAUGAAGUGUAAUUGCUGCCUGGCAAUGAAGUUAGUGGAUCACAAAUGCCGAGAGAAAGGUCUGGAAAUAAAUUGCCCCAUCUGCUGUGACUUUUUGUUCACAUCAAGCUUAAGUGUUAAAGCUCUUCCUUGUGGCCAUUUCAUGCAUUCAAAUUGCUUUCAGGCAUAUACUUGCAGUCACUAUAUCUGCCCAAUUUGUAGCAAAUCUUUGGGAGAUAUGUCAGUGUACUUUGGCAUGCUUGAUGCAUUGUUGGCUACAGAGGAGCUUCCGGAGGAAUAUAGGGACCAUUAUCAGGUACAUUUGCCCCCUAUAGAUGUUUUAUUUCGUACUUGGCUCUCUAUUGAAUGUCAAGUUUCUGUUGCAUUUAUUUCUGCUGAAAAGAACACACAAAGGAGUUCUGAAGACACAUUUGGUGUCCAAAACAUGUUAUCCUUGGGUGGAAUUGCAUUCAAUACCCAGGUUAAUGAAUUAUACGUUCCUAGUCAUCCAAAAAGAAAAUAAUGAAAGGGGAAAAAAAGUAAGGGAAGAAAUGUAAGAUAUUUUGGAAUGAAUUUUUCCUUUGAUAGCGUGGUUGCUGAUUCAAUCAUUGCCAAUUUGAUCAGUAGGGGCAGGUGUCGAUGAGCAGAGUUCGGAUUGGUCACUCUAUAGCUUUGCUCAAAUCAUCUCGAGAGAGAGAGCAGUGUUACGUGGGGAAUACAAGAUCUUAGCUCAAGCUCAAACCUUGGCUUGGAUUCAACCUAACCUAACUAUAAUAGUCUUUUACUGUUCAGUGGGAACACAUAUUUAUAAGCCUUAUUUUGAUAGUUUAUAAUUGCCAUUAUACUUGGCCUUAAAGGAUUCUAAUAUUCAUAAAACAAUGCAGGAUAUACUAUGCAAUGAUUGCGAUCGAAAGGGCACUGCACGCUUCCACUGGUUAUAUCAUAAAUGUGGAUUUUGUGGAUCUUACAAUACUCGGGUGAUUAAGAGUGAAUCAGCGAAACCCGACUCCUCUGCAUCACAUCAAUGAGAGGUUAGUCUGUACAUAGUUGUCAAUUCAAUCAAAUUUUCUGCCCAAAAGAAAAGCAGUUACUGGUCAUUACGUCUAUAUGUUCUGCUAAAAUGUGUCACUCCUGUAGAAGCUGUUGAAAAGAUUAUAUUCCCUUUGGUUUAGUUCCUUUAUAGAAUUGACGAUAGAAAAAGCAAGGAAGGGAGCAUUGCUUCCGAUUUCAAUUCGGAAGUAGUAGCAAUAGUGUGUUUGAAUACUGCAUUGUAUAGCCGCCAACUGCUCUCUCUCUCUCUCUCUCU